RNAcentral lists this ribosomal RNA (778 nucleotides) under uncultured Planctomycetota bacterium. Its description in RNAcentral is "bacterial SSU rRNA". It matches the Rfam family "Bacterial small subunit ribosomal RNA", at positions 46 to 803 of the family's 1533-position model. The record is from RNAcentral. Lineage: Bacteria; Pseudomonadati; Planctomycetota.
GGAUUAGGGCAUUGCAGUCGUACGUGAUCCUCGCUUCGGUGAGGUGAAAGUGGCGAACGGGUGAGUAAUGCAUAGCUAACCUACCCUUGGUACGGGGAUAACCAGGAGAAAUCUUGGCUAAUACCCGAUAGGCUCGCGGGGUUGCAUGGCCCUGCGAGUAAAGAAGGCCUCUUAGCAAUGCUUUCGACCGAGGACGGGACUAUGUCCUAUCAGCUAGUUGGUAGGGUAAUGGCCUACCAAGGCAAUGACGGGUAGCCGACCUGAGAGGGUGACCGGCCACACUGGGACUGAGACACUGCCCAGACUCCUACGGGAGGCUGCAGUCGAGAAUCUUCCGCAAUGGGGGAAACCCUGACGGAGCGACGCCGCGUGCGGGAUGAAGGCCUUCGGGUUGUAAACCGCUGUCACGCAUUAAGAAGGGUCCGGCGUUAACAGCGCUGGGCUUUGACGAAGGUGCGGGAGGAAGCCACGGCUAACUCUGUGCCAGCAGCCGCGGUAAGACAGAGGUGGCGACCGUUGUUCGGAAUCACUGGGCAUAAAGCGCGCGUAGGCGGCAUGGUAAGUCGGGUGUGAAAUCCCUCGGCCCAACCGAGGAAUUGCGCUCGAAACUACCGUGCUUGAGGACAGGAGGGGAGCCUGGAAUUCCUGGUGGAGCGGUGAAAUGCGUUGAUAUCAGGAGGAACACCGGCGGCGAAGGCGAGGCUCUGGCCUGUUUCUGACGCUGAGGCGCGAAAGCUACGGGAGCAAACGGGAUGAGAACCCACGGUAUCCUAGUCCG